GUGUGUACAUAGCUUUAAGAAAUGCUAUAGAAUAUGAGCAAAUGCUACAGAGACUGCAGGGAGUCCGAAGGGCUGCGCUCCUGCGGUGGCUCAGUCUUAUUUCAUACCUGCGACAUCC
Lutra lutra (Eurasian river otter) is the source of this 118-nucleotide small nucleolar RNA. RefSeq annotates it as small nucleolar RNA SNORA14. The record is from RefSeq and is a predicted model, not a curated record. Lineage: Eukaryota; Metazoa; Chordata; Mammalia; Carnivora; Mustelidae. The transcript has a single exon.